AGAGAGAGAGAGAGAGAGAGAGAGAGAGAGAGAGAGAGAGAGAGAGAAAUAACUUGCCUAUAGGAUUGAGAACAAAACUGAUCCAAAGUUCCCAGACAUUGUCUCUCAUUAGGGUAAGAGCUCAGAUGGAUUGGCACUUAAAAUUAAAGUAUGCUUUAGAGGGUCCUAGGGAUGCAAGCAAGGUCACAUGUUGGUGUCAGCAAAAGCCAAGGAGAAAACCAGCAGUAUACCCACUAAUUGUAAAGUGAGUAUUGGGUAAUCACACAUAGUGUGUAAAGGAGAGACAGAAAAGAGAGAUAAAACAUUGAUAGUGAGAAAAAGUUAGACAGGCAUGAGCCAGAGAAGCAGGCAAAGGUCCAAUGAGAAUGAAUUCAAGGCAGGGUACAGAUAACCCUAGACACAGAGACACAGAAUCCCAUCUACAACCCUGAAAUGCCAAGGUGUGGCUGUGCACCUGGUUCUAUGCACCUGUGUGGACUUCCAUUGGCUACAAGGUUGUGGGAAGAAGCAGCAAGAGGCUUUCAGCAAACAGGUGCCUCCAAUAAGUUUUCCUACAAAGGAAAGGACUUUGCCCUAAGGAGGUUCAGUGGGUGGAGGUCACAUGGCUGGGUGGCCAUUUGCAGUAUGAGGAAAUGUAUGAGUGGAACAGAUUCCAUCCUGUUUUGUUUGUUGGUUUAUUAGUUGGUUUUGGUGUUGGUGUUGGGGUUGGUUGUGGUUUUGCUUUUGGUUGUUUGAUUGAUUGAUUUCAUUUACAUAGAUAGAUAGAUUGAUAGAUAGAGAGAUAUGUAAAUUUUUUCCAUCUGGUCUUUGUUUGGAGGCCUACAGGAAAUCUUGAGAUUUGGCGACUGGGCGUGGCUUCCAUGCCUGUGUGUGGCAGCCAUCUUGAGACUGGGCGUGGCUGAGGUCCCACCUGUCAGGGGCAGUUAUAAAAGGGCAUGCCUGACAGAGGCAAGGGCUUCUAAGCUCUGAGCUUCUGUCUGUAGGUGUUCUCUCUCUGCUCAGGAGAGCACACACCCGACUAGAGGCAGGUCACAAGGUGAGUCUGGCGUGCAGAUCGAACCUAGAGAAUCCAGCCCUGUCCUCGGGAGUGGUCAUGGAGACUAGCUCCGAGGCAGGUGUUCUGCAGAAGCUGCUGGAUCGCCUUUGCCAGGAGACCGACCCAGGAAAGAUCUACAAAACGCUGAAGAAAAUGUCUUCUCUUCCUUCUCUGUGUGACUGCCUUGCAGAGAUUGGCUUCAGAAAGACCAUCAAGUCCUUGAAGAAACAGCAACUCCUCGUGCCCUUUGUAAAGGACUUAGUGGCCCAGUGGUCCACUGGGUUCCUGCAUGGGCCCCAGCCUGAGCAGACCCGGCAGGACUUUGGCUUGGAGAAGGGCCUCACAACGGAGGGCCGGAGCACCUCCCCAGAAGAGAAGCCCCAGGAGCAAGCAUCCCAGGAAGUCCACGGAGAUGGGAGAGAGGUUUUUCCUUGGGCUUUGCAGCUGCUGCCCAGGCAGCAGCUCUUGCCUAAGCCAGAGCCGAAAAUCACACCAAAGUUCCAACCGUAGGGCACCUCACAUUCGAAGCCCGCAUCCAGGAGAAAACUGGAGCCCUGAGCUGCAGCAAGAUGUCCAGAACCUGGUGCACCUAGGAACGUCCAGGGCGAGCCUGGAGGAGCCUUGGCAGCAGGAAGGGGCCAAGCCCCUGUCCAGAAAGCCAGGGGCUGGGCCACAGGAGCCCACUGGGCUUGUGUUUGGUGGGCACAGCAAGUGUCAGCCACCAGGCAACUGGGAGCAGGAGGAAGCCCCUGGAGCUGGUUCGUCCUGGGCUUGCCUCAAUGGGGAGUGCUGCUCUCCUUCCUCUUCGGAGUGUCCACGGGGCAAGAGGCAGAGGUGGGAAUCCCGGUGUCCAGCCGAGGCCCAGAGUCCUCCUGCAAAGGUGCCUCGAGAGGAGUCUGGAAGCUCCAUGGAUCUGAGUCCCAUUGCUGCCAGCACCAUUCCAGAGACUCCCUCCAGUGGCCAAGUCUGGUUCAAAUGGGAUCUUGCCCAGGAGACAUUUUCCUCUCAGCAGGAUCAUGAAGCCUCAGCUUGGGGGUGGGAGCUCAGGAAGCAGCACAGAACCCGAGUCUAUUCAGGUUGCAGGCCUGCAGCAGGACCCCAGCAGAAGCGCACUGGAACCAGGGAUGGUGCUCACUGCCAGGCUGGCAAGGACAAAGUUGGGCUUGGGCAGCCAGAAGAGAAGUCCUGGCCCCAGGGCCGCAGGUGCAAGGAAUCCUACAGCCAGCCUGAGGCCCCCACAGCCCUGCAGCUUCAGGGGUCCCAAGAGGAGAGGCUGCAAACCCUCAUAGGCCGCCUCCAAAGCACAGGAGCCAAGAGGCCUCAACCCAGACAGACGAUGAUGGUCUCCUUCAUCACCGAGCUCAAGAGCCCCAGCCAACAAGGACAGCCAGGACCCACUGGGGCUGCCUCUGCCCAAAAUGCCCACAGUCUUCCUGAGGCUCCUGCCCAUCCUCCAGCCCAGAGGGCUUCCUGCCUUCUCCUUGGGGAAAGAGGCACCAAGAAGGGCCCUGCUAAAAGACCUGCUCCUCUCAUGGCCAAGGCCCUGAAGGACUACAGAAAGUGCUUCUAUAAAAGGUGAACCCCAGAUGAUUUCCAUCACCAGAAAACCUGCAACUCCUGAGAUUGGACUGACUGGACACACAGGCACUUCCCUCCAGGGACUGCCACAUGGUACACCCUGGGUUUAGGGCUCCGGGCAGACUUCCCAGCAGCUAAUCUUGGCAUUCUCACUGGACUUCUUUACACAGUUUUCCACACCUUAACUUUUGUCCCAUGUCAAUUCUCAAAACAUCUUCAAAAAUAAAUCAAUAUCUCUCCCACAAUCAACUUUGUGGGUUUGUCUCUACAUUACUUGUGAAGGAUUGAUACCCAUGGACCUAGAUACAGUUUAGCAGUUGGACAAAGAGACUAACAGUCUGCCUGCUGACAGUUUUGCAAAGACGCAUGUAGGAUCGUAGAUGGUAGAAGAGAUACCUAGAGUCACAAAGAGAAGUAGGCACAUCAAUAUGUUUGUGGAAGUCUGGCAGUAGACUUGAUAUCAGUGCCCACAAACCAGUAGGAAUCAAGGCAGUUUGUGUGUGUGUGUGUGCCUGUGUGUGUGUGGGGGGGAAUGUGCAUGUAUAUGUGUGUGCAUGCAUGCCCUCAUGUGUGUGUAUUUUUUUAUGGGUAUGUGUCUGUGAGUGUGUUCAUGUGUGUGUGUGGUACAACUAUUUGUAUGUGUGUGAUGAAGAAAAGGAAAGUUACACGAGUACAGAGAGGCAGAGAGAGAGAGAGAGAGAGAGAGAGAGAGAGAGAGAGAGAUAGAGAGAGAGAGAAAUAACUUGCCUAUAGGAUUGAGAACAAAACUGAACCAAAGUUCCCAGACAUUGUCUCUCAUUAGGGUAAGAGCUCAGAUGGAUUGGCACUUAAAAUUAAAGUAUGCUUUAAAGGGUCCUAGGGAUGCAAGCAAGGUCACAUGUUGGUGUCAGCAAAAGCCAAGGAGAAAACCAGCAGUAUACCCACUAAUUGUAAAGUGAGUAUUGGGUAAUCACACAUAGUGUGUAAAGGAGAGACAGAAAAGAGAGAUAAAACAUUGAUAGUGAGAAAAAGUGAGACAGGCAUGAGCCAGAGAAGCAGGCAAAGGUCCAAUGAGAAUGAAUUCAAGGCAAGGUACAGAUAACCCUAGACACAGAGACACAGAAUCCCUUCUACAACCCUGAAAUGCAAAGGUGUGGCUGUGCACCUGGUUCUAUGCACCUGUGUGGACUUCCAUUGGCUACAAGGUUGUGGGAAGAAGCAGCAAGAGGCUUUCAGCAAACAGGUGCCUCCAAUAAGUUUUCCUACAAAGGAAAGGACUUUGCCCUAAGGAGGUUCAGUGGGUGGAGGUCACAUGGCUGGGUGGCCAUUUUGCAGUAUGAGGAAAUGUAUGAGGAGAACAGAUUCCAUCCUGUUUUGUUUGUUGGUUUACUUAGUUGGUUUUGGUGUUGGUGUUGGUGUUGGUUGUGGUUUUGCUUUUGGUUGUUUGAUUGAUUGAUUUCAUUUACAUAGAUAGAUAGAUUGAUAGAUAGAGAGAUAUGUAAAUUUUUUCCAUCAGGUCUUUGUUUGGAGGCCUACAGGAAAUCUUGAGAUUUGGCGACUGGGCGUGGCUUCCAUGCCUGUGUGUGGCAGCCAUCUUGAGACUGGGCGUGGCUGAGGUCCCACCUGUCAGGGGCAGUUAUAAAAGGGCAUGCCUGACAGAGGCAAGGGCUUCUAAGCUGUGAGCUUCUGUCUGUAGGUGUUCUCUCUCUGCUCAGGAGAGCACACACCCGACUAGAGGCAGGUCACAAGGUGAGUCUGGCGUGCAGAUCGAACCUAGAGAAUCCAGCCCUGUCCUCGGGAGUGGUCAUGGAGACUAGCUCCGAGGCAGGUGUUCUGCAGAAGCUGCUGGAUCGCCUUUGCCAGGAGACCGACCCAGGAAAGAUCUACAAAACGCUGAAGAAUAUGUCUUCUCUUCCUUCUCUGUGUGACUGCCUUGCAGAGAUUGGCUUCAGAAAGACCAUCAAGUCCUUGAAGAAACAGCAACUCCUCGUGCCCUUUGUAAAGGACUUAGUGGCCCAGUGGUCCACUGGGUUCCUGCAUGGGCCCCAGCCUGAGCAGACCCGGCAGGACUUUGGCUUGGAGAAGGGCCUCACAACGGAGGGCCGGAGCACCUCCCCAGAAGAGAAGCCCUAGGAGCAAGCAUCCCAGGAAGUCCGCAGAGAUGGGAGAGAGGUUUUCCUUGGGCUUUGCAGCUGCUGCCCAGGCAGCAGCUCUUGCCUAAGCCAGAGCCGAAAAUCGCACCAAAGGUCCAACCGUAGGGCACCUCACAUUCGAAGCCCGCAUCCAGGAGAAAACUGGAGCCCUGAGCUGCAGCAAGAUGUCCAGAACCUGGUGCACCUAGGAACGUCCAGGGCGAGCCUGGAGGAGCCUUGGCAGCAGGAAGGGGCCAAGCCCCUGUCCAGAAAGCCAGGGGCUGGGCCACAGGAGCCCACUGGGCUUGUGUUUGGUGGGCACAGCAAGUGCCAGCCACCAGGCAACUGGGAGCAGGAGGAAGCCCCUGGAGCUGGUUCAUCCUGGGCUUGCCUCAAUGGGGAGUGCUGCUCUCCUUCCUCUUCGGAGUGUCCACGGGGCAAGAGGCAGAGGUGGGAAUCCCGGUGUCCAGCCGAGGCCCAGAGUCCUCCUGCAAAGGUGCCUCGAGACGAGUCUGGAAGCUCCAUGGAUCUGAGUCCCAUUGCUGCCAGCACCAUUCCAGAGACUCCCUCCAGUGGCCAAGUCUGGUUCGAAUGGGAUCUUGCCCAGGAGACAUUUUCCUCUCAGCAGGAUCAUGAAGCCUCAGCUUGGGGGUGGGAGCUCAGGAAGCAGCACAGAACCCGAGUCUAUUCAGGUUGCAGGCCUGCAGCAGGACCCCAGCAGAAGCGCACUGGAACCAGGGAUGGUGCUCACUGCCAGGCUGGCAAGGACAAAGUUGGGCUUGGGCAGCCAGAAGAGAAGUCCUGGCCCCAGGGCCGCAGGUGCAAGGAAUCCUACAGCCAGCCUGAGGCCCCCACAGCCCUGCAGCUUCAGGGGUCCCAAGAGGAGAGGCUGCAAACCGUCAUAGGCUGCCUCCAAAGCAAAAGAGCCAAGAGGCCUCAACCCAGACAGACGAUGAUGGUCUCCUUCAUCACCGAGCUCAAGAGCCCCAGCCAACAAGGACAGCCAGGACCCACUGGGGCUGCCUCUGCCCAAAAUGCCCACAGUCUUCCUGAGGCUCCUGCCCAUCCUCCAGCCCAGAGGGCUUCCUGCCUUCUCCUUGGAGAAAGAGGCACCAAAAAGGGCCCUGCUAAAAGACCUGCUCCUCUCAUGGCCAAGGCCCUGAAGGACUACAGAAAGUGCUUCUAUAAAAGGUGAACCCCAGAUGAUUUCCAUCACCAGAAAACCUGCAACUCCUGAGAUUGGACUGACUGGACACACAGGCGCUUCCCUCCAGGGACUGCCACAUGGUACACCCUGGGUUUAGGGCUCCGGGCAGACUUCCCAGCAGCUAAUCUUGGCAUUCUCACUGGACUUCUUUACACAGUUUUCCACACCUUAACUUUUGUCCCAUGUCAAUUCUCAAAACAUCUUCAAAAAUAAAUCAAUAUCUCUCCCACAAUCAACUUUGUGGGUUUGUCUCUACAUUACUUGUGAAGGAUUGAUACCCAUGGACCUAGAUACAGUUUAGCAGUUGGACAAAGAGACUAACAGUCUGCCUGCUGACAGUUUUGCAAAGACGCAUGUAGGAUCGUAGAUGGUAGAAGAGAUACCUAGAGUCACAAAGAGAAGUAGGCACAUCAAUAUGUUUGUGGAAGUCUGGCAGUAGACUUGAUAUCAGUGCCCACAAACCAGUAGGAAUCAAGGCAGUUUGUGUGUGUGUGUGUGCCUGUGUGUGUGUGGGGGGGGAGUGUACAUGUAUAUGUGUGUGCAUGCAUGCCCUCAUGUGUGUGUAUUUUUUAUGGGUAUGUGUCUGUGAGUGUGUUCAUGUGUGUGUGUGGUACAACUAUUUGUAUGUGUGUGAUGAAGAAAAGGAAAGUUACACGAGUACAGAGAGGCAGAGAGAGAGAGAGAGAGAGAGAGAGAGAGAGAGAGAGAGAGAGAGAGAGAGAGAGAGAGAGAAAUAACUUGCCUAUAGGAUUGAGAACAAAACUGAUCCAAAGUUCCCAGACAUUGUCUCUCAUUAGCGUAAGAGCUCAGAUGGAUUGGCACUUAAAAUUAAAGUAUGCUUUAGAGGGUCCUAGGGAUGCAAGCAAGGUCACAUGUUGGUGUCAGCAAAAGCCAAGGAGAAAA
This is an RNA transcript of Mus musculus (house mouse), 6835 nucleotides long. It is a transcript of the gene named predicted gene, 51571, with no coding region annotated. The record is from RefSeq and is a predicted model, not a curated record. The transcript has a single exon. NCBI's taxonomy places the organism in Eukaryota, Metazoa, Chordata, Mammalia, Rodentia, Muridae.